GAUGAACGCUGGCGGCGUGCUUAACACAUGCAAGUCGAACGAAGCACUUUUAUUUGAUUUCUUCGGAAUGAAGAUUUUAGUGACUGAGUGGCGGACGGGUGAGUAACGCGUGGGUAACCUGCCUCAUACAGGGGGAUAACAGUUAGAAAUGACCGCUAAUACCGCAUAAGACCACAGCACCGCAUGGUGCAGGGGUAAAAACUCCGGUGGUAUGAGAUGGACCCGCGUCUGAUUAGGUAGUUGGUGGGGUAACGGCCUACCAAGCCGACGAUCAGUAGCCGACCUGAGAGGGUGACCGGCCACAUUGGGACUGAGACACGGCCCAAACUCCUACGGGAGGCAGCAGUGGGGAAUAUUGCACAAUGGGGGAAACCCUGAUGCAGCGACGCCGCGUGAGCGAUGAAGUAUUUCGGUAUGUAAAGCUCUAUCAGCAGGGAAGAAAAUGACGGUACCUGACUAAGAAGCACCGGCUAAAUACGUGCCAGCAGCCGCCGUAA
Molecule: ribosomal RNA, 497 nt
Filed under: uncultured bacterium
Lineage: Bacteria
Description: partial 16S ribosomal RNA
Rfam family: Bacterial small subunit ribosomal RNA
Source: RNAcentral